UCUCCCCCACUUCAUGACAGAAGGGCCACAGGACCAAACCUGAGUGGUCACUGUCGUGGCCAGAGCUGCUUCUCCUUGCUGCUCUCAUGGGGCUGGCUUUUGUAUGAGGGCUCUGCCUAGCCUCACUCUGCUCCCAGAAGCCUGUGUUCCCACUGGUGUGCCUGCACGACUUGCUCAGCAACAGCCUCAAGACUUGCUACAAGUAUGGAGAAAUGUGGCGAGUCAGUCAGGAGUGGGACAGUAAAUAAGAGAGAGAGUUUUGCAUUGGAAGACGUUGCUCUGCCACCAUUAACUGAAAAGAGAUGGAAAACAUAAAGUUAAAUUGUCUCAAAGACCCAUAGCAGAACCAUGGAGGACUCCAAAAAGAAUUGAGCCAGUGCCUGAACAUGAGUCUACUUUCCUUCAAGUUCCUAACCCUGAGAAGCAAAAGAAUAAAGGAAACAAGAAAAAAAGACACAGGAUGAAGGGAGAAAAUACUAUCUGAGGACCUCUACCCUUCUUGUUACAUAUAUGCAGCUGCUAAAAGGUCAUAUGUCUCUAUUAAUAAUGGGCUUGGAAAAGCAUAGCAAAAAAGAAAAUGAACCCCAGAUAUAGGCUGUAAUAGCCAAACUAAGUAUAUUGAAGUGAGCUGAAAACAACCUAGACAGUUCUGAGAUGAGACUUCUGAUUGUCUGAUAAUUAAUUUGCUUUACUGUCACCGCAUGUCCCCAUACAUCUCAUCCACCUGUCACCCCAUACAUCUCAUCAUAUUGUAAACUUUUUAAUAUGCUCGGAUUACUCCUAAACAGUACAAAUAAAAAUAAUAAGCAGAAGAAAAUGAAAUGCAAAGCAGGAAGCUACAGCAGCUAUUGCAACUCAGGUUUCCUCUUCAGGCUUUUCUGUUUAUUUUGCAUUUC
Mauremys reevesii (Reeves's turtle) is the source of this 896-nucleotide long non-coding RNA. RefSeq lists it as uncharacterized. NCBI's taxonomy places the organism in Eukaryota, Metazoa, Chordata, Testudines, Geoemydidae. The transcript has 5 exons. The record is from RefSeq and is a predicted model, not a curated record.